RNAcentral lists this ribosomal RNA (254 nucleotides) under uncultured bacterium. RNAcentral describes it as "partial 16S ribosomal RNA". It matches the Rfam family "Bacterial small subunit ribosomal RNA", at positions 524 to 776 of the family's 1533-position model. The record is from RNAcentral.
UACAGAGGUCUCAAGCGUUGUUCGGAUUCAUUGGGCGUAAAGGGUGCGUAGGCGGGAUGACAAGUCUGUUGUUAAAUAUCCUGGCUCAACCAGGAAAGUGCAAUGGAAACUGUUAUUCUAGAGGGUGAGAGAGGGAAGUGGAAUUCCAGGAGUUAGCGGUCAAAUGCGUAGAUCUCUGGAGGAACACCGAUGGCGAAGGCAGCUUCUUGGCUCAUUUCUGACGCUGAGGCACGAAAGCGUGGGGAGCAAACAGG